GACGAACGCUGGCGGCGUGCUUAACACAUGCAAGUCGAACGGAAAGGCCCUGCUUUUGUGGGGUGCUCGAGUGGCGAACGGGUGAGUAACACGUGAGUAACCUGCCCUUGACUUUGGGAUAACUUCAGGAAACUGGGGCUAAUACCGGAUAGGAGCUCCUGCUGCAUGGUGGGGGUUGGAAAGUUUCGGCGGUUGGGGAUGGACUCGCGGCUUAUCAGCUUGUUGGUGGGGUAGUGGCUUACCAAGGCUGUGACGGGUAGCCGGCCUGAGAGGGUGACCGGCCACAUGGGGACUGAGAUACGGCCCAGACGCCUACGGGAGGCAGCAGUGGGGAAUAUUGCACAAUGGGCGGAAGCCUGAUGCAGCAACGCCGCGUGCGGGAUGACGGCCUUCGGGGUGUAAACCGCUUUCGCCUGUGACGAAGCGUGAGUGACGGUAAUGGGUAAAGAAGCACCGGCUAACUACGUG
Molecule: ribosomal RNA, 468 nt
Filed under: uncultured bacterium
Lineage: Bacteria
Description: partial 16S ribosomal RNA
Rfam family: Bacterial small subunit ribosomal RNA
Source: RNAcentral